GUAAAGAAAGUGGCAAAUUUUUCGUACAUAUUCAUGAAGAUUUUGAAAAUAGAAAAAAGAAGAUGUAGUAUGAUUGCAAUUGCCAAUGAGACAACUCUUCGCAAGAGACCGAGUAACACUAUAGGUCACCGUACGGCUUUCAAGAUACACAACAUCACAAUAGAUCUCCAGAUACUACUAGCACCAACAAAGAAAGAGACAUACGAGAUAACAACGAAAAUAAUAUGAAAAUAUUUAUAGAGUUCAGGGCGAUUCCAAGAAACACUAAGCCCUGAAGAAUUCCUAUUCUGCGCCUAAACAAUUUAACCAAAGUAUACAAUGUGAUAAUACCCACAGAAACUACAGUACCAAGUAAAAACAAGAAAGCACAUAGAGACCAGAUGUGUCAAACUAAAUAUUGACCUUAUGAUAAGGAGCGUGAUUCAACAAUGAACAAAUCAUAAAGCCCAUGCCGCAUAGUCAGCUAUAAACGGCCG
RNAcentral lists this long non-coding RNA (476 nucleotides) under Mytilus galloprovincialis (Mediterranean mussel). The record is from RNAcentral. Lineage: Eukaryota; Metazoa; Mollusca; Bivalvia; Mytilida; Mytilidae.